AGAGUUUGAUCCUGGCUCAGAAUGAACGCUGGCGGCGUGCCUAACACAUGCAAGUCGUACGCGGUAUCCAGCAACUGCAUAACGUGAGUGGCGAACGGGUGAGUAACACGUGGGUGACCUACCUUCGAGUGGGGGAUAACGUCCCGAAAGGGACGCUAAUACCGCAUAACAUCCUGUCUUUGAAAGGCGGUGAUCAAAGCCGGGGACCGUAAGGCCCGGCGCUUGAUGAGGGGCUCGCGUCUGAUUAGCUAGUUGGUGAGGUAAUGGCCCACCAAGGCGACGAUCAGUAUCCGGCCUGAGAGGGCGGACGGACACACUGGGACUGAGACACGGCCCAGACUCCUACGGGAGGCAGCAGUGGGGAAUUGUUCACAAUGGGCGCAAGCCUGAUGACGCAACGCCGCGUGGAGGAUGAAGGUCUUCGGAUUGUAAACUCCUGUUGCCCGGGACGAAAAGCUCUGACCUAACACGUCGGAUGUCUGACGGUACCGGGUGAGGAAGCCCCGGCUAACUCUGUGCCAGCAGCCGCCGUAAUACAGAGGGGGCAAGCGUUGUUCGGAAUUACUGGGCGUAAAGGGCGCGUAGGCGG
This 589-nucleotide ribosomal RNA is filed under the name uncultured bacterium. RNAcentral describes it as "bacterial SSU rRNA". It matches the Rfam family "Bacterial small subunit ribosomal RNA", at positions 8 to 578 of the family's 1533-position model. The record is from RNAcentral.